RNAcentral lists this ribosomal RNA (497 nucleotides) under uncultured bacterium. Its description in RNAcentral is "partial 16S ribosomal RNA". It matches the Rfam family "Bacterial small subunit ribosomal RNA", at positions 28 to 507 of the family's 1533-position model. The record is from RNAcentral.
GAUGAACGCUGGCGGCGUGCCUAAUACAUGCAAGUCGAGCGAACAGAUAAGGAGCUUGCUCCUUUGACGUUAGCGGCGGACGGGUGAGUAACACGUGGGUAACCUACCUAUAAGACUGGGAUAACUUCGGGAAACCGGAGCUAAUACCGGAUAAUAUUUCGAACCGCAUGGUUCGAUAGUGAAAGAUGGUUUUGCUAUCACUUAUAGAUGGACCCGCUCCGGAUUAGCUAGUUGGUAAGGUAACGGCUUACCAAGGCGACGAUACGUAGCCGACCUGAGAGGGUGAUCGGCCACACUGGAACUGAGACACGGUCCAGACUCCUACGGGAGGCAGCAGUAGGGAAUCUUCCGCAAUGGGCGAAAGCCUGACGGAGCAACGCCGCGUGAGUGAUGAAGGUCUUCGGAUCGUAAAACUCUGUUAUUAGGGAAGAACAUACGUGUAAGUAACUGUGCACGUCUUGACGGUACCUAAUCAGAAAGCCACGGCUAACUACGUG